GAUGAACGCUGGCGGCGUGCCUAAUACAAGCAAGUCGAGCGAACGGACGAGAAGCUUGCUUCUCUGAUGUUAGCGGCGGACGGGUGAGUAACACGUGGAUAACCUACCUAUAAGACUGGGAUAACUUCGGGAAACCGGAGCUAAUACCGGAUGAUAUUUUGAACCGCAUGGUUCAAAAGUGAAAGACGGUCUUGCUGUCACUUAUAGAUGGAUCCGCGCUGCAUUAGCUAGUUGGUAAGGUAACGGCUUACCAAGGCAACGAUGCAUAGCCGACCUGAGAGGGUGAUCGGCCACACUAGAACGGAGACGCGGUCCAGACUCCUACGGGAGGCAGCAGUAGGGAAUCUUCCGCAAUGGGCGAAAGCCUGACGGAGCAACGCCGCGUGAGUGAUGAAGGUCUUCGGAUCGUAAAACUCUGUUAUUAGGGAAGAACAUAUGUGUAAGUAACUGUGCACAUCUUGACGGUACCUAAUCAGAAAGCCACGGCUAACUACGUG
This 497-nucleotide ribosomal RNA is filed under the name uncultured bacterium. RNAcentral describes it as "partial 16S ribosomal RNA". It matches the Rfam family "Bacterial small subunit ribosomal RNA", at positions 28 to 507 of the family's 1533-position model. The record is from RNAcentral.